Molecule: long non-coding RNA, 474 nt
Organism: Sceloporus undulatus (fence lizard)
Lineage: Eukaryota; Metazoa; Chordata; Lepidosauria; Squamata; Phrynosomatidae
Exons: 3
Source: RefSeq, a predicted model, not a curated record
CAUUUGGUGACGCUGGUCUUGUGAGGACACAAGAGAGGGCCUUCUCAGCGGCUGCUCCCAGGUUAUCGAACUCCCUUCCCAGGAGGUCUGGUUGGACCCUCCAGCAAGUAGCCUUAUGCUUAAUAAUGCUUAGGAUGUUUUCGGGAUUUCAAGAUACCACAUUAUAUCCUUAUUGACACACCUAAGGAGCCUCUUGGGAAGAAACCAGACUAAAAACUAAAUGAAGAAAGAAAUGCACAGUCUGAGCAAUGACAAUCUUAAGUUUCCAGUCCUUUAUCGGCCACCUCCCUGGUCCAAUUCAAGAAGGAGCUGAAGACUCUCUUGUUCACACAAGCAUUCCCUGAACCAGGCUUCAAUUAGUCUCUUCCCCCCCUCUAUGGCAGCAGUGACAUGCUGGCUAGAAUGUUUUAAUGUCUAUGCUUUUAAUGCAUCUGCGGUUUUUAUUGUAUGUAUUGUAUAUGAUUUUAUCUUGUA